GAGGGUAUAGCUCAGUGGUAGAGCACAUGCUUAGCAUGCACGAGGUCGUGGGUUCAAUCCCCAGCACCUCUA
Molecule: transfer RNA, 72 nt
Filed under: Camelus ferus (Wild Bactrian camel)
Lineage: Eukaryota; Metazoa; Chordata; Mammalia; Artiodactyla; Camelidae
Rfam family: tRNA
About the family: Transfer RNA (tRNA) molecules are approximately 80 nucleotides in length. Their secondary structure includes four short double-helical elements and three loops (D, anti-codon, and T loops).
Source: Rfam by way of RNAcentral